UAUCUAUGUAGCGUCUCGUGGUCAUUGGUCAUCACAUUUCAUUUUCAUAACAUAACCGAUAACCUAAAAAUUUAGUAAAAAAGUAAAAAUUUUGAUUGGAAAAAAAAUGCAUCGAUAAGGGGGUGUGGGAAAUGGAAAUUAGUGGCUUUUUUGCUGUACUGUCUGCUAGUUUUUGCUCUGAGCACUGGCUAGAUCUCUUGUUUAAACAAUUUUAAUCAGCUGAAAGUGGCCUACAAAAAAAAACCAAGAAGGAAAUGUAUAGCUAUGAAAGGCAAAAGAGAGAUAUAAAAAGUGUAUUGGCUAGUUGGAAGAAAGUCCACAUUGUCCAUGCAUAAUAAGUUAUUACAUUAUCAACAAAUAUCAAGAAGAUAGCAGGGUCACGAGCAUCAACUUCAUGAGUUCAAGAAUAUCGAGGAAAUCCAGCUCCUCGAUACUACUGGGCAAACUAGAAGAUUGAAGAGGACAAAUCCUUUUGAACUAGUUUGAGUGAUAGGUGAUAGUGAAAAACGGAGCAUAGUGCUUGUGUGCUGUGCCUGUGUAUGUUAGAAUAGUGCAUGAUCUUGUUAGAUUAGAUAAGAGACGCUAUGGGGUAAGCUCUUCAUUUUAAGAAACAGUAGUAAUUUAGGCUAAAUUAAAAUUGCUCAUUGGUCAGUUAUGACCAGAUUGUUUUUUUAUGUUUGGCAAAAAGGACUUAAGUCAGAAUUGCACAUUGAUAAUGUUUUGAUGAUUUCUGGACCAGAAAAAAACUGUUGUAGAUGUAAACUGUAUGUACAGUAGAAUCUACUACAGUACUGUAGAAAUCAUCAAAACAUUAUCGAUGUGCAAUUCUGACUUAAGCCCUUUUUCCCAAACAUCAGAGAAUUGUAAUGUACAAUAAUUCUCCUAUCUGCUUUUUCAUGAAUUUUGUAGGAGACGAAAAACCAUUUUUAGGAUCAUCUGCUUUCACAUGUUUUGUAGUAAAUAGAUAGUUGAAUUUACUACAAAACAUGUCAAAAAAUAUAUGAAAACAGGAGGUGACUAUAAAAAAAAGGUUUUAGUCUCUCUUACAAAACUCAUGAAAAAACAAAUCGGAGGUAUGUCACAUCAGUGACUAAGAAUGUCUAAAAAAUAUACUUUGAUGUCCCAAGAACCAAAUAUAACCUACAGUCCAUCUAAUUUACUUACUGUUGCACGUCAUUAUCUACGCCAGAGAUCUAAGUUGACAUAGUUGCCAAAGUAUAAAAAGAUCCUGAAUCCAUUUUAAAUCAAAUAUGUCACAUAAUUAUUGUAAACGUGGAUUAUACAACAAAACAAAUUAAUAUUCAAUGUAAAUAAGUAAAAACUUAAGAAAUAGAGAACAAGAAUUAAGUUAUAAUCUUUUAAGAUUUGCAGUGCAAGAGUUUUUGCACUGCAUUGUUAAUAAUUAAAAAACGGCUCCGAACUCUUGGCAAAAAGCCGGUAGGUUUCUUUGUAUAAGUAUGUUUACAAUAACAACUAAAAAAGUUGUCAGAUACCUCGAUUAUUCCAAGUCGUUAUAAAAUUAGGUGAAAUUUAUAUUUUUAUAGUAGAGGAUCUUUUUAUAGUAAAGUAAAUAAUAAAAACAGUAAAUAUAAUAAAUAAAACAGAUACUUAUAGUAAAGAAUAUAAACAAAUAUGAAGUGUCAUCACCGUAACUGUCAAAUAAAUGUUACCAAUUUAUUCUAAAAUGUCACCUUCGUUCGAUUACAGUUACAGUGUGAUCCGAACAAAUCUGCUUCAUAAAAACGCUUUAUAAUCCAUUUAUACAAAUUUAAUGAAACAUAUUAUUGUGUAUUUCUUUAGGUUAACAUUAAUAGAAAUCUUCAAAUAUUAUUUCUACGCGUAUAUAAUAAAAUAUGUCUAGUGGCUGUAAUUCCAGUGUACUCGGCAAAGUGAUUCUAAAAAAGAACACACCUACCGCCUAAAUAUUUCGUGUUGGUAUCAUGCAACCUCACAGGCUACGACGCGGAUGACGCGCAACAGUUAGUAAAUUAGACGAAGUAUGUAGAUAUAUACAGGGUGUAACAAAAAUACAGGUCAUAAAUUUAAUCACAUAUUCUGGGACCAAAAAUAGUUUGAUUGGACCUAACUUACCUUAGUACAAAUGUGCACACAAGAAAAGUUACAGCCCUUUGAAGUUAUAUAUAUAUAUAUAAUAGCACCAAGGGUCUUAGAGGCCCAUGGCUUGAAAAGUUUUUUUUUUUUCUUCAUUUUCACGUUUCUUUAUGUACUGAGAUCUUCUCUGGCUUGAUAUGUGAUUUUUCUCCAUUCCUUCCUGUUAUUCAUUUUUCUUUUCUGACCCUGUAGCACCAUUCUUUCCAAAUCUUUUUCGACCUCUUGCUUCCAUCUAUUUUUCGGCCUUCCUCUUCUCUUUCUUGAAGCUGUAGUGUAGUUUAGUACCAUUUUUGGAGUCCUCGUGUUUGGCAUCCUUUCAAUGUGACCUCGCCAUCUAAGUCUCUGUGCCUUUAUCAUUCAUUUGAAGUUACAAGAUGAAGUGAUUUUUUCCAAUAUAUCGAAAACUAUUAGAGAUUUUUUAUUGAAAAUGGACAUGUGGCAUUAUUAUGGCAGCA
This 2567-nucleotide long non-coding RNA is filed under the name Diabrotica virgifera virgifera (western corn rootworm). RNAcentral describes it as "uncharacterized LOC126889321". Lineage: Eukaryota; Metazoa; Arthropoda; Insecta; Coleoptera; Chrysomelidae. The record is from RNAcentral.